Molecule: long non-coding RNA, 123 nt
Organism: Humulus lupulus (European hop)
Lineage: Eukaryota; Viridiplantae; Streptophyta; Magnoliopsida; Rosales; Cannabaceae
Exons: 2
Source: RefSeq, a predicted model, not a curated record
CUCAUUCAUUUUCUUACUCUCUCUGUUUCGUUCUCUCUCAAUGUAUGUGUUUUUUGAAAUUUUCCGUGUUUUGUCCUGGCUGCAAAGAGCAUCGUCAAGCCAGCAAGAAGUUAGACCUUUGGA